GAACGCACCUUGCGCCCUUUGGCUAUUCUGAAGGGCAUGCCUGUUUGAGUAUCAUGAACACCUCAACUCUCAUGGUCCGCCAUGACGAGCUUGGACUUUGGGGGUCUUGUUGGCCUGUGAGCCAGCUCCUCUUAAAUGAAUUAGCUUGCCGGUGUUUGGUGGCGUCACAGGUGUGAUAACUAUCUACGCUUGUGGUUUUCCAUCAGAUAACCUUCAGUGAUGGAGGUUCACCGGGGCUUAUAAACGUCUCUCCUCGGUGAGGACAGAUUUUGACCGUUUGAUCUCAAAUCAGGUAGGACUACCCGCGGAACUUA
Molecule: unclassified non-coding RNA, 314 nt
Filed under: uncultured Tomentella
Lineage: Eukaryota; Fungi; Basidiomycota; Agaricomycetes; Thelephorales; Thelephoraceae
Description: sequence contains 5.8S rRNA gene
Source: RNAcentral